Molecule: ribosomal RNA, 253 nt
Filed under: uncultured bacterium
Lineage: Bacteria
Description: partial 16S ribosomal RNA
Rfam family: Bacterial small subunit ribosomal RNA
Source: RNAcentral
UACGUAGGGUCCGAGCGUUGUCCGGAAUUACUGGGCGUAAAGAGCUCGUAGGUGGUUUGUCGCGUUGUUCGUGAAAACUCACAGCUCAACUGUGGGCGUGCGGGCGAUACGGGCAGACUGGAGUACUGCAGGGGAGACUGGAAUUCCUGGUGUAGCGGUGAAAUGCGCAGAUAUCAGGAGGAACACCGGUGGCGAAGGCGGGUCUCUGGGCCGAUAUUGACGCUGAGGAGCGAAAGCGUGGGGAGCGAACAGG